GACGUAGGGUCCGAGCGUUGUUCGGAGUUACUGGGCGUAAAGGGCGCGUAGGCGGCGCACCAAGUCAGGCGUGAAAGCCCUGGGCUCAACCCGGGAAUUGCGCUUGAGACUGGUGUGCUUGAGUACGGGAGAGGAUAGUGGAAUUCCCAGUGUAGAGGUGAAAUUCGUAGAUAUUGGGAAGAACACCGGUGGCGAAGGCGGUGGUCUGGGCCUGAACUGACGCUGAGGAGCGAAAGCCAGGGGAGCAAACGGG
RNAcentral lists this ribosomal RNA (253 nucleotides) under uncultured bacterium. RNAcentral's name for it is "partial 16S ribosomal RNA". It matches the Rfam family "Bacterial small subunit ribosomal RNA", at positions 524 to 776 of the family's 1533-position model. The record is from RNAcentral.